AUUUUUAUAGUUGAGAACAACAGCAGCUUUUCACGUUGCAGCCCUGGGUUAGACCCCCAGUAAAAAUA
RNAcentral lists this transfer RNA (68 nucleotides) under Archaster typicus. Its description in RNAcentral is "tRNA-Glu". It matches the Rfam family "tRNA". Rfam says of the family: Transfer RNA (tRNA) molecules are approximately 80 nucleotides in length. Their secondary structure includes four short double-helical elements and three loops (D, anti-codon, and T loops). The record is from RNAcentral. Lineage: Eukaryota; Metazoa; Echinodermata; Asteroidea; Valvatida; Archasteridae.